CUGAUGCGUUGUUGGGUAGGGGAGCGUUCUGUAAGCCUGCGAAGGUGGCCUGUGAGGGUUGCUGGAGGUAUCAGAAGUGCGAAUGCUGACAUAAGUAACGAUAAAGCGGGUGAAAAGCCCGCUCGCCGGAAGACCAAGGGUUCCUGUCCAACGUUAAUCGGGGCAGGGUGAGUCGACCCCUAAGGCGAGGCCGAAAGGCGUAGUCGAUGGGAAACGGGUUAAUAUUCCCGUACUUGGUGUUACUGCGAAGGGGGGACGGAGAAGGCUAUGUUGGCCGGGCGACGGUUGUCCCGGUUUAAGCGUGUAGGUGUGUGUUCCAGGUAAAUCCGGUUCACUUUAACACUGAGGCGUGAUGACGAGGCACUACGGUGCUGAAGCAACAAAUGCCCUGCUUCCAGGAAAAGCCUCUAAGCAUCAGGUAACAUCAAAUCGUACCCCAAACCGACACAGGUGGUCAGGUAGAGAAUACCAAGGCGCUUGAGAGAACUCGGGUGAAGGAACUAGGCAAAAUGGUGCCGUAACUUCGGGAGAAGGCACGCUGACACGUAGGUGAAGUGAUUUACUCAUGGAGCUGAAGUCAGUCGAAGAUACCAGCUGGCUGCAACUGUUUAUUAAAAACACAGCACUGUGCAAACACGAAAGUGGACGUAUACGGUGUGACGCCUGCCCGGUGCCGGAAGGUUAAUUGAUGGGGUCAGCGCAAGCGAAGCUCCUGAUCGAAGCCCCGGUAAACGGCGGCCGUAACUAUAACGGUCCUAAGGUAGCGAAAUUCCUUGUCGGGUAAGUUCCGACCUGCACGAAUGGCGUAAUGAUGGCCAGGCUGUCUCCACCCGAGACUCAGUGAAAUUGAACUCGCUGUGAAGAUGCAGUGUACCCGCGGCAAGACGGAAAGACCCCGUGAACCUUUACUAUAGCUUGACACUGAACAUUGAGCCUUGAUGUGUAGGAUAGGUGGGAGGCUUUGAAGUGUGGACGCCAGUCUGCAUGGAGCCGGCCUUGAAAUACCACCCUUUAAUGUUUGAUGUUCUAACGUGGACCCGUGAUCCGGGUUGCGGACAGUGUCUGGUGGGUAGUUUGACUGGGGCGGUCUCCUCCUAAAGAGUAACGGAGGAGCACGAAGGUUGGCUAAUCCUGGUCGGACAUCAGGAGGUUAGUGCAAUGGCAUAAGCCAGCUUGACUGCGAGCGUGACGGCGCGAGCAGGUGCGAAAGCAGGUCAUAGUGAUCCGGUGGUUCUGAAUGGAAGGGCCAUCGCUCAACGGAUAAAAGGUACUCCGGGGAUAACAGGCUGAUACCGCCCAAGAGUUCAUAUCGACGGCGGUGUUUGGCACCUCGAUGUCGGCUCAUCACAUCCUGGGGCUGAAGUAGGUCCCAAGGGUAUGGCUGUUCGCCAUUUAAAGUGGUACGCGAGCUGGGUUUAGAACGUCGUGAGACAGUUCGGUCCCUAUCUGCCGUGGGCGCUGGAGAACUGAGGGGGGCUGCUCCUAGUACGAGAGGACCGGAGUGGACGCAUCACUGGUGUUCGGGUUGUCAUGCCAAUGGCACUGCCCGGUAGCUAAAUGCGGAAGAGAUAAGUGCUGAAAGCAUCUAAGCACGAAACUUGCCCCGAGAUGAGUUCUCCCUGAGACUUAGAGUCUCCUGAAGGAACGUUGAAGACGACGACGUUGAUAGGCCGGGUGUGUAAGCGCAGCGAUGCGUUGAGCUAACCGGUACUAAUGAACCGUGAGGCUUAACCUUACA
This 1738-nucleotide ribosomal RNA is filed under the name Salmonella enterica. Its description in RNAcentral is "partial 23S ribosomal RNA". It matches the Rfam family "Bacterial large subunit ribosomal RNA", at positions 1213 to 2925 of the family's 2925-position model. Lineage: Bacteria; Pseudomonadati; Pseudomonadota; Gammaproteobacteria; Enterobacterales; Enterobacteriaceae. RNAcentral also lists the same sequence under 1 other name. The record is from RNAcentral.